Molecule: long non-coding RNA, 2665 nt
Filed under: Nicotiana benthamiana
Lineage: Eukaryota; Viridiplantae; Streptophyta; Magnoliopsida; Solanales; Solanaceae
Description: long non-coding RNA (NBEN_LNC039953)
Source: RNAcentral
CACUGCCAUGGAUGCCGGCGCCAGCUCUAUUCCCCAACAAAUUAACACGAAUCAAUCUCCUCCACUCCUUCGUUAUGAAUAUGCAAGCAUCUCCCGUCGAACGAUCCCAGAACACCUCGAAUCUUGAUUCAUAGCCAAGAACCCUAGUGCCACUAAACUUUCCCCAGUGGUGGUUUCACCUGCAAACCCUUUAAAAUUAACAUCACACAACCCCCAUGACCCCAUCACGCCUAAUCUGCUGUUUCCUAAAAGACUAAAUCAUUCACAAUCGAGCUCAAUAGCCCACAUGAAUAUGUCGCUAUUUUUCUUUUAAUUUGAAGUUCUGGUUAGGUGAGAACUGAUGUCAUUCAUAAGGACAAAUGUCCAAAAUUAGUUCUUGUUAAAUCAAGAUCUCUAGUGCUGUUUAUUUUUGAGUUGGUAAGUUCCUUUUCCUCUCUUGUAUUCUCUUUCCCUGUUUCAUUUUUAUUCUUCCUCAUACCUUUUCUUUUGGCUCUUCGGAAUUUUUGGGGAUUUUCUAAGUCCAUAUCUUGUUGUUUCUCCCUCUUAUGUUAUUUUUGCUUUAAAAGCCUGAUUACCUGAUUUUUGCAAUCCGUCCUGUUUCGUCUGUCAAAGUUUUGUAUUAAUAGCUUAGUAGAAUUACUUGGUUAAAUUAGGCCCAUGAUUUAGUUAAAUUGAUGUUAUAAAUUUUGAUGUGCUAGUUCAAUGAUUUUGCUUUGUUUCGAAUGUCUUCAAUAAAUGUUUCCAUGAGUCUUUUGUUGGAAAUGUUGGUCCAGCUUUGAUCCAGGGCUCUUAAUAUAUUAUUUAUUUUCUAUAUGUCAGAAGGGCCAGUAUAGGAUUCAGUUGGGUCUAUAUGGACCCAUUGGUUUGAGUCAUUUGGCCCAGCUCUCUGAUUGGAAAAAAUAGAAGUAAAAACAGGGUAUUUGGAGGACAUUUUAGGAAUUAGGUAUAGGGAAUAAUUUUUGUUAUAUAGGAUGCUUCUAGAGGAUACGUUUGGGGUCACCUGUGAAGAGAAAUGGGAGGUUUUUAGAUAUUAUUUGGGGGAGGGAAAGGGAUAUUUUCAGCAAUUAAAACUUUAAUCUCGGUUUGAAUUGAAUAAAAAGAAAAUUCAAAAGGGCCAAGGAUAAAAUAACAAAGUCUGAAGGCUGCACUAUGGUUGGUCCUAUAUAAGCUACCAUUUUUGCCAUUCAAGGAAUGCUUUUUAGAGAGUUGAAAACUCCAAAAUACAUACGACUAAGAAUAAAAUAAUUACUGUUCCAUUGAAAAGAAAUCUUUGGAAAAUCCAGUGGUAUUCACUCUGAGAUAAUUUCUGAUGAGAUGAAGGUUAAAAUGAGUUGAGUUAGCUGGUGCUCAAGGUUUUUCUGUUCAUUUAUGGUUUGGUUUAAUUAUUGGGGCUUUGUUGAACACUAUUGAGACUUUUAUGCGAUCAAAUUUUGUUCAAAAACUGGUUCUCUUUGAUUAUUUCUGGGCUGAUUUGUUGUUGAUGUUGUCUUUGAUCUUCACAUCUUCUUCAUUUUUCUUUGCAAAUUCCAGGUAUUAUUCACUCCCCAUGGAUGUCACUAGAUGUACAACUUGGAGAAUAGAUUUGAGUGAAGUGAAUUUUGAUGCCUUGUUGUAUGAAUAAGCUUUUCUUUCUUGUAGUCGUGUGUACAUUUUGGUAGUUAGUAAAUGAGAAUGCCAAAUGAUUUAAGUAUCUUGUGUUACUAGUGAUAUUAAGUUUAAAUUAUAGGCUCAUAUGUAUGUUUUUUUUGGUUUCACUAGUAAAUCUGGUUCUGUGCUAAUGAGCACAGUUUAUUUUAGUUAGUAUGAAUUAAUUGUUGGCUUAAGAAGGAAACCAUUCACUCUGAAAUAUCAGCUUUUUGUAUGCUGGCUAUAACAGAAAAUUUAGUUGUUGAGAGGCAUGAUUUGAGUGUAGGCUCGUUGGAUUUAUGGUGAUAAAUUGUUUAAUUGACUCGUAUAUGUUUAGAUUUGUUUUUAGUCAAAAUUUGAAGUUAAGUGUAUGCUUUGUAGGACCCAUUCCCGAUUCAUUUUUUUUAUUCUGAAAGUGUCAACAUGCACAUAAAAGAUUAGAGCAUGUGAGUUAAAGUGUUUCUUUUGAUAAACAUGUAUGUGAACUCAAGCAAUUAUGGAUAUAUGUCUAAAUGCUCUAUAUGUUAAAUUUGGCUCCAACUGAUGAUUGCAUAAGUUUUUUAUAUUAUAAAAUCAGUGCUUGAAAUAAAAUUGGACAUUGAUAUCAAGGCGUAGUGAAAAAAUUUUCCAUUUGGAUAAUUGUUAAGAACGUCCCUUUGUUUUGCUUUCACUAGGGUUCGGUCCAAGAUCCCUCUGCCAGCACCCCAUGUCGAUAAUGAUUGGGCUCUUUUGGUCCUAAACAGUGAAAUUGUAUUGGAACGAAGAGGUGCCUACUACCUCGAGCAGUUUGUUAGUUCUUUGUUGUUUGUCUCUUAAUAGAAAUUUCAACAGAUUAUUGGUCCUAUCCCCGAGACUUGGUGCCUUUGAAUAUUCAAUUGUUUAAUUUUAAAUAGAAAUAGUCGUAAUCUCUUUAAGUCUCUUAUUAAUUGGUUUCCCGAAAAAACAAAUUUGAGGUGAGCCAUGUUGCAUAAUAAAAACAAGUUUAUAGCUGUCUAACACGUAGCUCGAACUUUCUCUGAGAGUUAGAAUUGAGGUGAGC